Molecule: unclassified non-coding RNA, 365 nt
Filed under: uncultured bacterium
Lineage: Bacteria
Description: contains 16S-23S intergenic spacer region
Source: RNAcentral
UCCCCGUUACCGGGGCAGUCUAGCUAGAGAAAUUCAACUAACUAUAAGGGUUGCGCUCGUUGAUGGACUUAACCAAACAUCUCACGACACGAGCUGACGACGGCCAUGCAACACCUGUCACUGCGCUCUAAUAAAAGCACUCUCUCCUUUCGGAGAAAUUCGCAGGAUGUCAAACCUGGGUAAGGUUCUUCGCUUACCAUCGAAUUAAACAACACGCUCCACCGCUUGUGCGGGUCCCCGUCAAUUCCUUUGAGUUUUAAACUUGCGUUCGUACUACUCAGGCGGGAUGCUUAACGCGUUAGCUUCGCUACUAAGAGGGUCGAUACUCCUAACAGCUAGCAUCCAUAGUUUAGGGCGUGGACUAC